CCUACGGGUGGCAGCAGUGAGGAAUAUUGGUCAAUGGGCGCAGGCCUGAACCAGCCAAGUCGCGUGAGGGAAGACUGCCCUAUGGGUUGUAAACCUCUUUUAUCAGGGAAGAAUAAUAAUUACGUGUAGUUAGAUGACAGUACCCUAAGAAUAAGCAUCGGCUAACUCCGUGCCAGCAGCCGCGGUAAUACGGAGGAUGCGAGCGUUAUCCGGAUUUAUUGGGUUUAAAGGGUGCGUAGGCGGUAUUUUAAGUUAGUGGUAAAACGUCGGGGCUUCACCUUGUAUGGCCAUUGAAACUGGAGUACUAGAGUACAGACGAGGUAGGCGGAAUAAGUUAAGUAGCGGUGAAAUGCUUAGAUAUAACUUAGAACCCCGAUAGCGAAGGCAGCUUACCGGACUGUUACUGACGCUGAAGCACGAGAGCGUGGGUAGCGAACAGGAUUAGAUACCCUUGUAGUC
RNAcentral lists this ribosomal RNA (459 nucleotides) under uncultured bacterium. RNAcentral's name for it is "partial 16S ribosomal RNA". It matches the Rfam family "Bacterial small subunit ribosomal RNA", at positions 338 to 795 of the family's 1533-position model. The record is from RNAcentral.